Molecule: ribosomal RNA, 252 nt
Filed under: uncultured bacterium
Lineage: Bacteria
Description: partial 16S ribosomal RNA
Rfam family: Bacterial small subunit ribosomal RNA
Source: RNAcentral
UACGAAGGGGGCUAGCGUUGUUCGGAAUUACUGGGCGUAAAGCGCGCGCAGGCGGUCUUCCAAGUCAGUGGUGAAAGCCUGGAGCUCAACUCCAGAACUGCCAUUGAAACUGUUAGACUUGAGUACGAGAGAGGUGAGUGGAACUGCGAGUGUAGAGGUGAAAUUCGUAGAUAUUCGCAAGAACACCAGUGGCGAAGGCGCUCACUGGCCCGGUACUGACGCUGAGGUGCGAAAGCGUGGGGAGCAAACAGG